Long non-coding RNA from Lathyrus oleraceus (garden pea), 977 nucleotides. RefSeq lists it as uncharacterized. The transcript has 3 exons. Lineage: Eukaryota; Viridiplantae; Streptophyta; Magnoliopsida; Fabales; Fabaceae. The record is from RefSeq and is a predicted model, not a curated record.
GAUUUGAUGUUACACGAUGUUGCUCAGCACGCGACUUAAUGGCACUUGUUUCCGCAGUAUCAACUUCAGUAUCUUCAGCCUUUUUGUUUGGUUGAUGGUGAUUAACUGCAAUUCAAACCUUGCUUCACUAGGCUUCUAAUAUUUUAACCUGGUUUGAUGGCUGCAUCUGAGAGGCUUUGGAUAGGUUGGUAAUGCUGCAGUUAUGUAUUACUGGAAAUGUAUGGGUUGUUUUGAGAUGUGUGCAAGGCUGAAACAAAUGGAGCUGCUUGGAUUGUGGGGCUGGUCAUCGUAACUCACAGAACUUGACAUUUCAAAUAACCGAAAUAGUAGGGCUGCUGGGCAUCUAGUGUACCAGAAAAGAUUUUACAGGAGUAAAUUUUGUAUAUGCCCUGGUGGAUCACAGGUUAACAGUGCUCGAAUAGCAGACUCUAUUCAUUAUGGAUGCAUACCUGUGAUAAUAUCAAAUUGCUAUGACCUUCCUUUUAAUGAUAUUCUUGACUGGAGAAAACUUGUUCAUAAUAAUUUAGUCAAGAUUCAGAAACACUUCCAGUGGAAUUCACCUCCAGUGAGAUAUCGUGCUUUCUAUAUGGUUAUGUAUAACCUCUGAUUACGCCAUCACACCAUCCAACACUGAUUCUAAGUGCUCGUCUGUUUUUGCGGAUCAAUGUCCAAGUGCAUGCCAGGAUCAAACCUACAGUUGUAGCUUCUGUUAAAUCGCACACGAAUGCCGGUUGAGUGUAUCUAGAAGUGAAACUAAAGAAGCCCCAAAGACUCACUCUUAUCCUGUAUACACCCUACUGUAAAUAAUCACAUUACUGCUUUAUAUGUAACGGCUAAUUUUUUUAAUAUUCUUGCAUCCACAUUUUUGUACGUUGAAAAUUGUGGCAUGUGCAAUUGGUAGUGUUCGACAUUGAAAACUAAAUUAACAUUGGUUUGUUUCAAUACUAAUUUUGAGAAGAGAACCCAAUUUGCUUCAA